RNAcentral lists this ribosomal RNA (492 nucleotides) under uncultured bacterium. RNAcentral's name for it is "partial 16S ribosomal RNA". It matches the Rfam family "Bacterial small subunit ribosomal RNA", at positions 28 to 523 of the family's 1533-position model. The record is from RNAcentral.
GACGAACGCUGGCUGCGUGCUUAACACAUGCAAGUCGAACGCUGAAACCCUGGUGCUUGCACCGGGGUGGAUGAGUGGCGAACGGGUGAGUAACACGUGAGUAACCUGCCCCCGACUUCGGGAUAAGCCCGGGAAACUGGGUCUAAUACCGGAGAUGAGGAACCCCCGCAUGAGGGAUGCUGGAACGUUUUUUCGGUUGGGGAUGGGCUCGCGGCCUAUCAGUUUGUUGGUGAGGUAAUGGCUCACCAAGACGACGACGGGUAGCCGGCCUGAGAGGGCGACCGGCCACACUGGGACUGAGACACGGCCCAGACUCCUACGGGAGGCAGCAGUGGGGAAUAUUGCACAAUGGGGGAAACCCUGAUGCAGCGACGCAGCGUGCGGGAUGACGGCCUUCGGGUUGUAAACCGCUUUCAGCAGGGAAGAAGCCCCUCGGGGUGACGGUACCUGCAGAAGAAGUACCGGCUAACUACGUGCCAGCCGCCGCCGUAA